RNAcentral lists this transfer RNA (89 nucleotides) under Araneus ventricosus. RNAcentral's name for it is "tRNA-Met". Lineage: Eukaryota; Metazoa; Arthropoda; Arachnida; Araneae; Araneidae. The record is from RNAcentral.
UGCCCCGGGUGAGGAUCGAACUCACGACCUUCAGAUUACUCUCUCGAGAGAUUAUGAGACUGACGCGCUGCCUACUGCGCUACCGAGGC